UGGGGAAUCUUGCACAAUGGGCGAAAGCCUGAUGCAGCAACGCCGCGUGCGGGAAGACAGCCCUAGGGUUGUAAACCGCUUUCAGCAGGGAAGAAACUGACGGUACCUGCAGAAGAAGAUGCGGCCAACUACGUGCCAGCAGCCGCGGUGACACGUAGGCAUCAAGCGUUAUCCGGAUUUAUUGGGCGUAAAGAGCUCGUAGGCGGUUCGGUAAAGUCGGGUGUGAAAACUCUGGGCUCAACCCAGAGAGGCCACUCGAUACUGCUGUGACUAGAGUGCGGUAGGGGAGCGGGGGAAAUUCCUGGUGUAGCGGUGAAAUGCGCAGAUAUCAGGAGGAACACCAGUGGCGAAAGGCGCCGCUCUGGGCCGUAAACUGACGCUGAGGAGCGAAAAGCAUGGGUAGCAAACA
This 409-nucleotide ribosomal RNA is filed under the name uncultured bacterium. RNAcentral describes it as "bacterial SSU rRNA". It matches the Rfam family "Bacterial small subunit ribosomal RNA", at positions 355 to 774 of the family's 1533-position model. The record is from RNAcentral.